This is a long non-coding RNA of Pipistrellus kuhlii (Kuhl's pipistrelle), 760 nucleotides long. RefSeq lists it as uncharacterized. The record is from RefSeq and is a predicted model, not a curated record. Lineage: Eukaryota; Metazoa; Chordata; Mammalia; Chiroptera; Vespertilionidae. The transcript is spliced from 2 exons.
UUUUUUAUUCAUGCCAAAUCCACUUUUGUCCCUCGUGGUGCACCCGUUCCAUUGGUAUAAGUUUACAAACAUUUGACCAACAUUUAUUCUGUGUUCAAACUUGGUAGGUGCUUUAGAAAGACAAGACACAGUUUUGACUGUCUAGGGUUCUCCAUCUGGGUAGGGCAGUGGGGGAUGUGACAUGUACAGGAUUCUAGAAAAGAGCUCAAGGCAAGGUAAGCAAGUUAGAAAUGGUGCAUUGUAGACUGGGUAUCCUUAUUUGCACCAAGUUCCUGACUUUCAGCAGGCUGAAAUGCUCUGCACACGAGUGAACAAGACCUUCAACUUUACUGGUUGUGUGAACUGAAAUAGCUUAUUUCAGCUGGGAAAUUUUCCAAACACUAAACAUUUAAUAGUUUCUGUGGCCACUCUUUGAUACUCCAGGGAAAUAGAAGGGCGUGGCUGGAAAGGGUAGUACAAGUGCCAAGUGGUAUGAUUGGAGAAGUAACUGCCUCAGAAUUAGGUGAACUGGGCUCUCAGUUCUGUCACUCAUUUGCCCCGUAACCAUUCACUCAUCAUGUGUGCAAAUAUCUGGCUGUCUCAUGUGUCAAACCCAGUGCUAGCCGAGAGACACAACAGUGAACUAGACAGACAAGGACCUUGCCCAUAACUGGUGACUUUAAUUGACAUGUCUCUCAGCUUCUCAGGGCUCUGCUGUUUCUUCAUAUGAGGAAGGAGGGGCUGGAUGAGCCUUAAGUGUUUUUCCAGCUCCAAAAGCCUG